GGAAAAACCAAACAGAUGGAUGGAUCCAACAGCUAGCGUUGGUAAUUAAUUAAUUAAUUCAACCUUAGCUUAUGUACAAGUAAUUAAAUAGGUAGGUAUAACUGAAUGAUCAAUGGAUCAGGUCAAUAUCGGCUAGCUAAGUUAGAUCUGAUCUGCAAAUUUAAUCACCACUUACCAGGAUAGAAGAGAAACGAGUGUUGAUGGGCAAGAACAAUUUCUCAACUAGUUCCAGACCCUUGGAAUCAUCGAACGGAGCCUCCAUCUCGAAAGCUGCAAUGAUGAAGAGGGCUAACUCGGAAGUAAUGAAAUACUGACUACUCGGACUUACAGGUUGCACGUCUUCCACCAUUCUAUUUAUCUAUCUAUCUAUCUAUCUAUCUAUCUAUCUAAAUCUUCUUCUGUCUAGCUCGGUCACUAUACACAAUUACCCACAGUCGUGUGUGUAUAUAUAGGCACAUGGUGAAGCAUAUUCAUGACAUACCCAUUAAGUAGUAACCGUCCACCCAUAUGAAUUAAGAAGGUUGGAUGGUAAGUAGUUGCCAUUUAAUGAACGUAACGCCAUGGGAGUGGCCACAUUAGCACAUAGAUAGAUAGGUAGGUAGGUCCGGUAGCUCAUCAGGAAAUAACUCACUGCAGUAGUCAACAUUGGGUUACAAUAUUGCAUGCAGCUUGUACGAAUUUUCAGUUUUUUGUUUUGUUUGUAAAUUCAAUCUCCAGCAAGCUAAGAAAUUAAAGUUCCGUCCAUCCACUUUCAAAUGCUUAAUUGGAUCAAUAAUUGAAUCUAUAUAUUCAAUCUAACUAGCUAAUGGACGUAUGUCAGCGUCUCUAGCUGUACACUCUAACUAGUCUCUUCUCCAGCGUCAUUUCUGUUGCUGUGUCGAUCGCUGUGUAGACUGACUGGACUGGUAUAUAUCAGAUUGGAGGUACAUAUUUAAUAUAAAAGGAAAUAUAAAUAGAUCAUGGAUGACAAAUCUAACCAUAUAUGAUUUGUAGGACAUACAUGCAGCUUGUUAGUUAGAUCGAUCUUCUUCUGCUGCCAGCCUGAGCCCAACAUAUUUUCUGCUGCCAGACCUUAUCAAAAUACAAUUACUUUCUCAAAUUAAUUGUUAAAUCAGUAUUCGGAUCUCCAUUUAUCCGACCCGACUACCUUUCUACUGCAGUUUUUAAAGUUCGAUAUUUUUAUAACAAAAUAUAUAUAUAUUGCUUCUCAUAACAUUUGUAUUAAAAUCGACUUUCUAAUUACUAUUAUAUUCAUCUUAUUUAUAGAGUUAACUACUAACCAUACAAUUAUCUAAUUUUGGCUUCUUUCAUCAUUACAAGUGUUUGGUCCAAUACGCCCCUCCCUAGCUCAAACUGAAGGAGAAGGCCCUCCGGCUCACCGACGAGCUUCAGUUUGAUCCAUGUGCCGAUAACGUUCUUACAUAAGACGACCGAAAAAGUGUGACAUUUAAUCUGUUAUAGCCUCUUCUUGCACAAAUUUGACAUGGGAGUUGACUUCGACGGUGAGUUAACCUUGAGUAAAAACCAUAAUUUUUCAGACGGAUAUCAUGAUCCACAAAGAGUUCACACAAUUGAGCGCACCCACGUCAGAUCAAGAUCGUAUUUCGCCGUGAUCGCAGUUACAAAUUAAAGACUCAUAUUCAUCAUUUAGACCGACCAACGUCAUCAAGAUUCUUUAAUCUUUUCGCCGGUCGUCGCUAAUGCAUCUUUAAGAAUUGUAAUCUUUGCGAUGAAUUCGUCCAUAGGUACAUAAACCAUCUUUCUGAAUUGUUUGCAACUGUCACCGAAAAUGCACUUGUCGAGUCUGAUUGUCGGACGCAUAUAACCUCUUAAUCGAAAGUCAGGCACUAGCUAGCUAGAAGCCGUUUUGCAAGAAGCUAUUUACGAAAGAACUGUUAUAGUCAAGAUCCACCUUAAUAUUAGCUGAUCUUAUUGUAUUGUCAAUGGAGUACGUAGAUUGCUGGACCUUAUUACCGCCGGUGGAAAUCGAUGAUUGUAUUUCUUUGAUUUGGGAAUAGAUUGCCCAUCCUAUUGAUUGAGGAUGUAAUAACAACCUAUUUCCCUAAUAGUAAUAGUCACUGAAUCUUUACACAUAAUUAUCUAAAGUAUUUGUAAUUAUUUAGCUAAUUAAAUGUAUAUACGCCUCCGCAAGCUAAUUAUUUAGUUGAUUAAUACUAGAAUAUUGAAUGAUUAAAUCGAAGAGUGAAUUGAUCAUUCUCAAAUACUUGUUAUCUAUUUAUACAAGUUUGUUUCUAAUUAGGAUUAACUGAUUCAUAACAGAUCAGUUAUCCUUUACACCCCUUCCCUUAAGCUCUUGGAUUUAUUCCAACGAGCUUGGUUUGUAAAUUUAGAAAUUGUUUUGCCGGUAGAGGUUUUGUCAAUACGUCUGCCCAUUGGAUGGUCCCGGGAAUGUGUUCCACCGAAAUCUCCCCGCUUUCUGUCUUCUCCCUUACGAACAUGUAGGUCUAUUGUAUUAGUUAUAAAAUUAUAAUUAUAAUUAAAAUUAUAGUUAUAAUCAUAAAUAUUAAUUAUAAACUAAUCUUAACCAUUUGGUUUUCUUUUAUUUGAGUUUUAAAUCAAACAGGAUAAAAGAGUUGCAGCCCAUAAGCAUAAUGGACCGGCCCAGAAGAUUGUUAUUUAAUUAAAUCGUAUAAAUGGACCUGGUUGUAAUAAAAUAAUAUUCGGGGUUGUAAUAGAAUUAGUAGUUUACAAUUGUUAUAAAUAAUGGG
RNAcentral lists this long non-coding RNA (2729 nucleotides) under Zostera marina. RNAcentral describes it as "long non-coding RNA (ZMAR_LNC005529)". The record is from RNAcentral. Lineage: Eukaryota; Viridiplantae; Streptophyta; Magnoliopsida; Alismatales; Zosteraceae.